AUUGAACGCUGGCGGCAGGCCUAACACAUGCAAGUCGAGCGAGCGGCGGAAGGGUGAGUAAUGUAUGGGGAUCUGCCCGAUAGAGGGGGAUAACUACUCGAAAGAGGGGCUAAUACCGCAUACUAUUGGAGCGGCCGAUAGCGGAUUAGCUAGUGGGGGGGGUAAAGGCCCACCAAGGCAACGAUCCGUAGCUGGUUUGCGAGGACGACCAGCCACCCUGGGACUGAGACACGUCCCAUACUCGUACGCGAGGCGUCAGUGGGGAAUUUUGGACAAUGUGGGAAACCCUGAUCCAGCCAUCCCGCGUGUAUGAGAAGGCCUUCGGGUUGUAAAGUACUUUUGGCAGAGAAGCGGUAUCUGCAGAAUAAGCACCGGCUAACUACGUGCCAGCAGCCGCGGUAAUAC
This 405-nucleotide ribosomal RNA is filed under the name uncultured bacterium. RNAcentral describes it as "partial 16S ribosomal RNA". It matches the Rfam family "Bacterial small subunit ribosomal RNA", at positions 30 to 526 of the family's 1533-position model. The record is from RNAcentral.